UGGCUCAGGAUGAACGCUAGCGGGAGGCCUAACACAUNAAGCCGAGCGGUAGAUUGCUUUCGGGCAAUUGAGAGCGGCGCACGGGUGCGGAACACGUGUGCAACCUGCCUUUAUCUGGGGGAUAGCCUUUCGAAAGGAAGAUUAAUACCCCAUAAUAUGUUGAAUGGCAUCAUUCGACAUUGAAAGCUCCGGCGGAUAGAGAUGGGCACGCGCAAGAUUAGAUAGUUGGUGAGGUAACGGCUCACCAAGUCAAUGAUCUUUAGGGGGCCUGAGAGGGUGAUCCCCCACACUGGUACUGAGACACGGACCAGACUCCUACGGGAGGCAGCAGUGAGGAAUAUUGGACAAUGGGUGAGAGCCUGAUCCAGCCAUCCCGCGUGAAGGACGACGGCCCUAUGGGUUGUAAACUUCUUUUGUACAGGGAUAAACCUUUCCACGUGUGGGAAGCUGAAGGUACUGUACGAAUAAGCACCGGCUAACUCCGUGCCAGCAGCCGCGGUAAUACGGAGGGUGCAAGCGUUAUCCGGAUUUAUUGGGUUUAAAGGGUCCGUAGGCGGAUCUGUAAGUCAGUGGUGAAAUCUCACAGCUUAACUGUGAAACUGCCAUUGAUACUGCAGGUCUUGAGUAAAUUUGAAGUGGCUGGAAUAAGUAGUGUAGCGGUGAAAUGCAUAGAUAUUACUUAGAACACCAAUUGCGAAGGCAGGUCACUAAGAUUUAACUGACGCUGAGGGACGAAAGCGUGGGAAGGNAGCNACC
This 756-nucleotide ribosomal RNA is filed under the name Flavobacterium sp. MBRG 4.28. Its description in RNAcentral is "bacterial SSU rRNA". It matches the Rfam family "Bacterial small subunit ribosomal RNA", at positions 20 to 777 of the family's 1533-position model. Lineage: Bacteria; Pseudomonadati; Bacteroidota; Flavobacteriia; Flavobacteriales; Flavobacteriaceae. The record is from RNAcentral.